UUCCCCUUCCUCAGUUUAAACCAAAACCCUAAAUCUUGAAAUCAUUUCUUUCUUCUUCUGCCUCACUGCGCCAACAUGACCUCCCCACGAUGGCUUUUUUGCGUUUUCCUGGUUGAGUUCCGAGUUCAGCUCAAUUCUUCUCUUACUUGUCUAUUCUGUAUCCAUACUCUCAUGGCUAUUCGCAAUGUUCUCAACGGAAAAUUCCUCAACCGGAGCUAGGCUCAUGUCUUCGUGGUUCAGAAACAUCGAACAGGAUCCCAAGGUCCAAUCCUCGGAGUCAACGAAGCUUUUCUAGCUGAUCAGAGCCAAACGAAAUCAAUGUCGGGGUAGGUGCCUAUCGUGAUGACAAUGGAAAGCCAGUGGUUUUGGGAUGUGUUAGAGAAGCAGAGAAGAGAAUUGCAGGAAACCAAUUCAUGGACUGUAUAAAAGAUCCGAAAGCCUAAGCCUUGGAAGCAUCCUCAGCCUAUAACAAGGACUCAGCUAAUACAACUGCGCGAUGAGUUUCGGGACACAGCUCCUCACUAUGGUGGACGGAAAGAGAUUUGGGACGCUCUUCGAGCUGCAGCAGAAGCUGAUCUUUCUUUGGCACAGGCAAUUGUGGAUAGUGCCGGGUCAUUGUCCAGAGUUUUGAUUUGAUAGUAUGCUAUGAUAAUCAAUGGUAUAUUCAUCAUGUAUGUAUUGAUAAUUCCACAUCAAAAGUGUAUGGAUUUAUGGACCCUGCUAUGUUGAAUAUUGUCUCUGUCAAAUAUAACUGAAUCUUGGAUGCAGGUAUUUGAUGAUCCUACAGAAUUAACACAAGAAGAUUUGUAUGAUUUGCGACUCUGUUGGGCAAAAUGUUUCUUUGAGUUAUAUAAAGAAUAACUUUAUGUUUCUCGUGGAUGUAUUGCAUGUUGGUUUUUCAAGUGCGCGAAAGGACUUAAAUGGUUGGAUAUUUGUUGUGUUGUUAUCUUGUGUAUCCUAGAUUAAUACUUUUUGUUUAUUUUGACGAAUAUAUAUGAAAAAUGUGUGCUGUGGGAAAAAUGUGUAAAAUAGCAACAUAGUUUUGG
This is a long non-coding RNA of Vicia villosa (hairy vetch), 1046 nucleotides long. RefSeq lists it as uncharacterized. The transcript has 6 exons. The record is from RefSeq and is a predicted model, not a curated record. NCBI's taxonomy places the organism in Eukaryota, Viridiplantae, Streptophyta, Magnoliopsida, Fabales, Fabaceae.